Molecule: ribosomal RNA, 465 nt
Filed under: uncultured Selenomonas sp.
Lineage: Bacteria; Bacillati; Bacillota; Negativicutes; Selenomonadales; Selenomonadaceae
Description: bacterial SSU rRNA
Rfam family: Bacterial small subunit ribosomal RNA
Source: RNAcentral
CCUACGGGUGGCAGCAGUGGGGAAUCUUCCGCAAUGGGCGCAAGCCUGACGGAGCAACGCCGCGUGAGUGAAGAAGGUCUUCGGAUCGUAAAGCUCUGUUGACGGGGACGAACGUGCGAAGGGUGAAUAAUCCUUUGCAAUGACGGUACCUGUCGAGGAAGCCACGGCUAACUACGUGCCAGCAGCCGCGGUAAUACGUAGGUGGCGAGCGUUGUCCGGAAUCAUUGGGCGUAAAGGGAGCGCAGGCGGGCAUGUAAGUCUUUCUUAAAAGUUCGGGGCUCAACCCCGUGAUGGGAAAGAAACUACAUGUCUUGAGUACAGGAGAGGAAAGCGGAAUUCCCAGUGUAGCGGUGAAAUGCGUAGAUAUUGGGAGGAACACCAGUGGCGAAGGCGGCUUUCUGGACUGCAACUGACGCUGAGGCUCGAAAGCCAGGGGAGCGAACGGGAUUAGAUACCCCAGUAGUC